CUCAGAACUGCGAAAGAUGAUGAAGGGGGCUCAAAAUUCUGCUAGUUAGCAAGGAUGGGUUACAUGAUCAUUGUUUCGCUAGUGCGGGCAAUCGGUGAUUCCUCAGUCCCUGUUUCAAUAACGAAGGCCAGAAAAGAUCAUCUUGUGAAAAGUCAGAAGUAGUGGAAUAAAAUGAUUCCACUGCAUCAGAAAAAAGUUAUCAAAUUCAAAACAGAAACUGCAAAGGAUUCAUUAAUUACAAAGUGUGACACAGGCAUGCAGCGGUGUACAGAGGCAGUAAGGAUUGUGGUCCCCCUUGCUCAGAUGGAGAGGCGCAGACAGCACCUGAUGCAGCAAACAGACCGACCGACAUCAAGAAGAGGAUGUGGAGUGGCAGGAUGAAAGGCAGCAGAAAAUUGCAUGAAAGUAAAUGCAAGAUCUCAAGUAGCCUCAUUGUCUGAGCUCAUUUAGCUUAAGGUCAC
This 461-nucleotide long non-coding RNA is filed under the name Fukomys damarensis (Damara mole-rat). RNAcentral's name for it is "lncRNA (ENSFDAG00000029600.1)". Lineage: Eukaryota; Metazoa; Chordata; Mammalia; Rodentia; Bathyergidae. The record is from RNAcentral.